RNAcentral lists this microRNA precursor (124 nucleotides) under Pelobates cultripes (western spadefoot toad). The record is from RNAcentral. Lineage: Eukaryota; Metazoa; Chordata; Amphibia; Anura; Pelobatidae.
GUUCCCUAAUCCAGUCCUCAUGGACCACCAACAUUCCAGAUUUUGUCAGUAUUUAUAUUGGAAUAAAACAGGAAAAUACAUACAUCCUGGACUGUUGGUGGUCCCUGAGGACUGGGUUGGGGUA